This 231-nucleotide ribosomal RNA is filed under the name uncultured Alicycliphilus sp. RNAcentral's name for it is "partial 16S ribosomal RNA". It matches the Rfam family "Bacterial small subunit ribosomal RNA", at positions 548 to 774 of the family's 1533-position model. The record is from RNAcentral. Lineage: Bacteria; Pseudomonadati; Pseudomonadota; Betaproteobacteria; Burkholderiales; Comamonadaceae.
AGAGAUGCACUGGGCUUAAAGGGUGCGCAGGCGGUUUUGUAAGACAGAGGUGAAAUCCCCGGGCUCAACCUGGGAACUGCCUUUGUGACUGCAAGGCUGGAGUGCGGCAGAGGGGGAUGGAAUUCCGCGUGUAGCAGUGAAAUGCGUAGAUAUGCGGAGGAACACCGAUGGCGAAGGCAAUCCCCUGGGCCUGCACUGACGCUCAUGCACGAAAGCGUGGGGGAGCAAACA